RNAcentral lists this ribosomal RNA (634 nucleotides) under uncultured bacterium. Its description in RNAcentral is "bacterial SSU rRNA". It matches the Rfam family "Bacterial small subunit ribosomal RNA", at positions 848 to 1504 of the family's 1533-position model. The record is from RNAcentral.
UAAGAUAACUCGAUAAGCACGCCGCCUGUGUAGUACGAUCGCAAGAUUAAAACACAAAGGAAUAGACGGGGACCCACACAAGCGGUGGAUUGCGGGGUUUAAUUCGAUAAUAAGCGAGUAACCUUACCCAGACUUGACAUCCUAGUCAUACCCUAUAGAGAUAUGGGGGUCGGUUCGGCCGGACUAGUGACAGGCGCUGCAUGGUUGUCGUCAGCUCGUGCCUUGAGGUGUACGGUUAAGUCCGCGAACGAGCGCAACCCUCAUCAUAUGUUGUAUUUUCAUGUGAGACUGCCGGUCAUAAACCGGAGGAAGGUGAGGAUGACGUCAAAUCAGCAUGGCCCUUAUGUCUGGGGCCACACCCACAAUACAAUGGCUAGUACAAACUGAAGCGAAGCAGCGAUGUGGAGCAAAUCGGAGAAAACUAGUCUCAGUUCGGAUCGUAGUCUGCAACUCGACUACGUGAAGCUGGAAUCGCUAGUAAACGUAUAUCAGUCAUGGUACGUUGAAUAUGUUCCUGGGUCUUGUACUCACCGCCCGUCAAGGCAUGGAAGUUGGGAGCACCCAAAGUCUGCGAAAUAAUCGUGGCCAAAGGUGAAUUCAAUAACUGGGCUUAAGUCGUAACAAGGUAGCCGUA